Molecule: ribosomal RNA, 253 nt
Filed under: uncultured bacterium
Lineage: Bacteria
Description: partial 16S ribosomal RNA
Rfam family: Bacterial small subunit ribosomal RNA
Source: RNAcentral
UACAGAGGUCUCAAGCGUUGUUCGGAUUCAUUGGGCGUAAAGGGUGUGUAGGUGGCGCUGUAAGUCGGGUGUGAAAUUUCGGAGCUUAACUCCGAAACUGCAUUCGAUACUGCGGUGCUUGAGGACUGGAGAGGAGACUGGAAUUCAUGGUGUAGCAGUGAAAUGCGUAGAGAUCAUGAGGAAGACCAGUGGCGAAGGCGGGUCUCUGGACAGUUCCUGAUACUGAGACACGAAGGCCAGGGGAGCAAACGGG